RNAcentral lists this long non-coding RNA (10230 nucleotides) under Oryza brachyantha (malo sina). RNAcentral describes it as "long non-coding RNA (OBRA_LNC002851)". The record is from RNAcentral. Lineage: Eukaryota; Viridiplantae; Streptophyta; Magnoliopsida; Poales; Poaceae.
UUAUACUUGCAUUGUAGUGCAAUUAUACCACAGUUACGCUUGUGCAAAUAUAACGUUUUAGAUAUUGUAGGAAAAAAUCACUUGAGUGGUGUACAGGCACUCCCAAAAACAAAAAGACCAUAUGUACGAUAGGACCAGAACACAAACGGUUUUGAUCUGUUGCUAAUGCUCCCUAGCUGGAUGAAAUAAUCAAUUGAGACACCGAAGAGAUGAAAAUUGUGUCAUUAUCUCACUCAGUCUCUGUAAUGAAGCAAACACAAUUCCAUGUGAUCUCUGAUGAAGCAUACUGUUCCUAACGUCUCCACAUGCCGAGAGUUUGAUCACCCCCCUUGAUCACCCAAACAAAUUUGUUUGUUACAAAUAUGAGUAUAUGCAACUAGUAAAGCAUUGCUAAGCAGUGUCGUAAUUGACUAGGGAUUCAUACGUAAUUAUUGGUUACAAAUAAACAGGAUAUUGAAUGAUCAAGGUAAGGCACAAUAAGUAGGUACUGAUUAUUGCGUGCAAUUUUGUUUGUCAAUAAAUCGUUUAACUUGCCUUGCUCAAGCUCCUGUGGAGUCAAAUCUUCAGUCAACUCCCCUCCCUCGCAGUCAGUAAGUGCGAACAAAAAUAAGCAAGAAGGAGAGACAACUGCAAAUCACCCAAAAAAAAACAUAAUAAACUAGCCAUAACACACAAGAGAAGAUCCAAAGGGAGGCAAACACAAAGCAAAUAAAGCCAUACGGUUUUUUGUGAAUGAAGUAGUCAUUUACUUUGCUAAACAUUGGUUUCACUAAAUUAAUUACCAAAGGUUUAGAAUCUAACCUAGGGUAUCAAAAUAACCUUUAAUAGAAUAGGUUAUAAGGCAUUAAACAGGUCAAGGAUAUGACAGGAGAUGGAUAGGAACCAAAAUAGUUGAGGGAUAGCGAAAGAAUGAUCAAAAGGGUGUAAAUUUAGGUUAGUUUACAAUUUUUUUUUAAAAAAACAUCACAUCGGAUAUACGGACACAUAUUUAAAGUAUUACAUGUAGUAUAAUUGCAAAAUAAAUUACAGAUUCCACCAAGAUACUGCGAGACGAAUCUUUUAAGCCUAAUUAAUCCGUCAUUAAUACAUGUAGGGUACUAUAGCACUUAUGACUAAUCACGUACUAAUUAGGCUCAAAAGAUUGGUUUGACGAUUUACCCUAUAACUGUGUAAUUACUUUCAAUAUUCAUUUAUAUAGAAUGCUCUGUUUAGGUUUCAAAAAAUUCAAUAUGAUAUUUUUAGGAAAACUUUUUGAAAACUAAACAGAGCCUUAUCCUUGUUCUCCCUUACCAGAGAGAGCAAAUAGGCAUAGACUGGUGUCAGGCUCAUGGACGGCGUUGGGCUUGGGGCGGAUCUUGGGCGUCGGAUUGGCACUAAUUGAGCCGAGAUGGGGGUGCACAAAGAGAGGGCCAGGCUGGGAGAGGGGUCGAGCCCUAAAUUUAUUUGUUUCAUUUCUCACAGAUUAUUCAAAUGAACUCAAAUACUCCGGUGUUUCGAAAUCCUAUGGUAAUUCAUAAGGCAUGCAUGAUACUCAAUAUCUAUUUUUUUUCUUAAUUUUUUAUGUAACUUGGGAAUCACGCGUCAAGGAGCCCCAGCUGUUAUACUUGCCCGGACGCCAAAUUAAUUUACCAGCUCUCUAGCUCAUCAGUAUCAAGCCAAGCCCGUGUGAAAUGUAUCUGCACUAUAUAUAUACUUUAGGAUAUCCAAACUGCAUAUCGUCUGAGCUCGAACGCAUUGCCAAGAAUAUGGACGAUCGAUCGGUGGCUUGAGAUUUAGUAUUUAGCUUUCCAUUCCACUAGGCAUGCAUCGAUGUGCUGCGUACGUAAUCAUUUCACGCCUCAACGACCUUGACUAUCAGUCAACCUUAUGGAAAUAAGAGGAAGGAUCGAUACACUAGGAUCUCGUUGCUACCAUAAGGCCUAGUAGGGUUGGCAGUACGUGGCCACCACCAUUGCUGUCGCGUUUAUGGAGGACGAGGGAAGCCAUCACUAUAGCACUAAGGAAGGAUGAGGAAGGCCGCAUUCGCCACCCCAAGUUAGUUAACUAAGCCUCCCUCAUUUUUCAUGCGCAGGCUUCCUAAACCGUUAAACGGUGUAUUUUUUGCAAAAAAUUUCUAUAAGAAAGUUGUUUUAAAAAAUCAUAUUAAUCUGUUUAUAUUUUUUUGAUAAUUAAUAAUUAAUUAAUCAUGUACUAAUAUAUUACUACGUUUUCCGUACGAGUGCAUAAGUUAACUUAUGCAUGCAUACCAAACGUGGCCAAAGUGUCACUGUCGUAAGUGGCGUACGUAGGAUAGAAAGUUAUGUCAUCUGACUUAUAUAGUUUUUAAAAUACUAUGAAAUUAAUUAAAAUAUUAUGAUCACAUUUUAUUAACGGAGAGUUUUUCUUUUUUUUCUCUUUAUCACAUCUCUUUACGUACAUACGUGUCUUAGAUUAUGGUGGUACUGGCCCCUGGAUAUGCCAAUGACCAUCCUCACCACCAAGGGAGGAUGGAGUGCACUGAUGUCGUUGCUGCUGAGGAUAUAUGGCUAAGGCUGCGUUCGGCACAACAUCUUCUUAACCCCAUAUUUCCUCUCUUUUUCGCGCGCACGCUUCCGAAUUGCUAAACGGUAUAUUUUUUUAAAAAAAAUUUAUAGGAAAGUUGCUUUAAAAAUCAUAUUAAUCUAUUUUAUAUUUUUAAGUAUUUAAUAAUUAAUUAAUCAUGUACUAAUCUAUCACUACGUUUUUCGUGCCAGGCUGACUUACCCCUCCUUCACCUCUGCCGAACACGGCCUAAGUGUGUUGCAAGUUGGGGCGGGAGGGGGACAAGAAGAAAGCAUUUGCGAUGUUAUUGUCGAGGGAGGAACUGACCGUCUCUUUUGAGGAGGAUGUGCGAGAGCAAUAUAAGACUUCACUGAUGCCCGACGGAGAAUGCGAUGGGGAUUGGGCUGGCUCAAUGAAUAUCUACACCAACUUACAUCUUAGCCCUUCUACUUCAUAAAUAUUACUAUUUCAGUAUUGGGCAUAAACCGCAUGGUACCGAAGAGUGUCGGCUAGUACCGACGGCUAUCAUCUUCUAGUCAACAAGUACACUAUCUGCUGCCAACGGUAUCGCAUGAUACCAUGAUAUCAUUAUGUAUCAUAUUUAUACGAAAAUUUAAUACCUACUCAGUACCAUCCGGUUUCAAGAUGAGCCAGGAUAUUGUACAAUAACAGCUUCUUUGCACAAUAUUUUCACGCACCCUCAAAUAGCCCAUAGUGCAUGAGACACUAAUGUCUGAUAUGCAAUAAUAUGGAGAAUAUGCUACGCACGUUGGGUAGUGGUGAAUUCAUGCCCUUCGUCCCGCAGAAUGAAAAUUAAUGGCGGUACGGUAGGCAUGUAUUUACUUGAAAUAAUUUUAUAUGUCAAUUAGGUGGUGAGUGCCCAGGCCUGUCUAGUGUCUACCACUACCAUUACGCACAUACCUCGCGUCCAUUUAACAUAUCUACUUCUCUAAGCGAACAGACUGACAAAUAGGAAAUGCGAUUUUUUUUAUCUUCAGCAUAUGACUUUGACAAUAAAUUUUUAGUACAGUGAAGAAAUAAAGUUUAAUUUUACCAUCUUUGUGAAAGUAUACUUAGGUAACAAAAUUGUGCGUUAAAAUUUUGGUAUUUCGAGAUAUAUUGUACAACUGGGUAUCAAAUUUUGGUAAUUUUUACCAUACUUGAGAAAGUAUAUCUGGAAGCUGAAAUUUAUGCUCAAAAUUUUGGUACCUCGAGAUGUAAAGUAACUGAAUGCAGCAAAUUUUACUCUAGAAUGAAACCUUCCAUUAUUUUCUCAAGGAUGAUAAAAUUGCUCCCAAAUUUUAUACUAAGAAAUGUGGCAACUCACGGUAGUUUCUCAAUUAUAGUAAAAUUGUCCAUGAAUAAAAUUCAAUAAAUUCUUUCUAUGGGAAAUCAUGAGGCCAUAACAGUUUUAUGAUUUUAAGUUAAGCGUUUUUUGAGGAUCAAUAUAUUAAAGUUUUGAAUAAAAAGGUCCAAAUCUCUGGGUGCAUAUAUAUAUAGAGAUAUAUAUCUGCGUGUAUAUAUGGCCAAACAACGAAAACACACAGAGAAACACGAGCAAGUUAAGGAGUGCAAAGCUAGUGAUGAUAGGCGUGAUGGGUCUUACUAGUUCAAAAACCAAACAACAAAAUUACAAAUAAAAAAUAAUUUAUUAAUAAACUUUUAUAUACAUGUUCUCAGCAAUUUAAAGCCAAGAUUAAAAAAUAAACUAGAAUAAAAAAACUCAAAAUCUACUUUACAAGGUAUGCAUGAUUAAGCCGGUAAUUAUGUGCUUCAAUAGUUUACUUAAUUAGCGAUGGCAUAUCAAUAGAAAGAGUUGAAUACAUUUUAUCGGAAAAAAUAAAAAUCAACAAUCAGCAAUUAGGAUUACAUAGAGGUGUGUUAGCUCAGAAGAGGUAAAGAUUCAAUAGCGAGUUUUACUCCCAUCCUCCUUUUGUAUCUCAAGAUAUCGGUACCUUGAGAUACUAAAUUGUUUCUCACUAUUGGAUCUAGCUAAGUAGGCUGUGCAUCGUUUGAUCCAACGAUAAAAACAAUUUAGUGUUGUGAGGUACCGAUAACUCGAGGUACAAAAGAAAGGAUGGGAGUAAAACCCUUCAAUAGCACCAGCUAUGGAAGUGCGCACUCCCUAGUCGUGACGGUCUUCUUCCUCGCUCGCUGGAUUAGCUUGACUCGGAGUAGUUCGGACAUCAUGGAGAAGGUAUUCAAAGUUUCUAUGAUGGCUGGUGGCUGCACUGAGCACACAGCAAAUUUGAUCCCAGGAGAUAAUGUUAGCAGCGCGCCGUACGUCCGCCUCCGCCUAUACAUGGCCAAAGAUGCAAGAGCGCGCUCGCACACUUGAGGUGCUAGUGAUCAAUCGAUCGAUCAUGGGUCUUCUACCUCCUCGGAUUACCACCUUGCUAACAAUGGCCAUCACGUCGUGUACUUUGUUAGCAGCCAUGGCGGCUGAUCACCGGAGCAACGACACCGACCUCGCGGCGCUGCUCGCGUUCAGAGCACAGGUGGCUGACCCGGACGGCAUCCUUGCUGAGGGAUGGAGCGAGAACGCGUCCUUCUGCCAGUGGGUCGGCGUGUCGUGCAGCCGGCGCCGGCGGCAGCGCGUNNNNNNNNNNNNNNNNNNNNNNNNNNNNNNNNNNNNNNNNNNNNNNNNNNNNNNNNNNNNNNNNNNNNNNNNNNNNNNNNNNNNNNNNNNNNNNNNNNNNNNNNNNNNNNNNNNNNNNNNNNNNNNNNNNNNNNNNNNNNNNNNNNNNNNNNNNNNNNNNNNNNNNNNNNNNNNNNNNNNNNNNNNNNNNNNNNNNNNNNNNNNNNNNNNNNNNNNNNNNNNNGGCGGCAGCGCGUCAGCGCCCUCGUCCUGCCGGACACGCCGCUCCAGGGCUCCAUCGCGCCCCACCUCGGUAACCUCUCGUUCCUCACCGUCCUCAACCUCACCAACGCUAGCCUGACGGGCUCCAUCCCAGCCCAGCUGGGAAGGCUGGCUCGCCUGAGACAUCUUGAUCUCGGCCUCAACGCCUUGUCAGGCUCCAUCCCAUCCACCAUUGGAAACCUCACGAGGCUCCAAUCUCUCAUCCUCGUUAGAAACGGCCUCUCGGGCCAGAUGCCAUCAGAGCUGCAGAAGCUGCAAGAUCUCAGGCAGAUCAACAUACAGGCGAAUUAUAUAAGUGGCACCGUACCAAACUAUUUGUUCAGCAACUCGAGCACUGUCUUGAGACUCAUAAACUUGGGCAACAACACCCUGUCAGGGCCCAUACCCAGCGGCGUGAUUGGCUCCAUGCCCAUGCUGCAGGCCUUUGUUCUUCAGUUCAACCAAUUCUCCGGCUCACUGCCCCCAGCCAUCUCCAACAUGUCCAGGCUUGAAAAGCUGUACGCCACUGGAAACAACCUCACUGGGCCUAUCCCAUUCCCAGCCGGAAACCAGAGCUCUGGCCUCCCCAUGAUUCAAAUAGUGUCCCUCUCCUUGAACAGAUUCACUGGCAGAAUUCCACCUGGACUUGCGGCGUGCAGGAAUCUCCAGCGACUUGAUCUGAGUGAAAAUCUUCUAGCAGAUCGUGUGCCGGAAUGGUUGGCGGGCCUGUCGCAGCUCAGCCUUCUCUCUCUCGGUGGAAAUAGUGGAAAUGACAUCGCCGGCUCUAUCCCAGCCGCGCUGAGCAAUCUCACCAAGCUCACCAUACUUGACCUGUCAUUCUGUAACCUAAAUGGAACGAUUCCAGUCGAGCUGGGAAAGAUGACACAGCUCACGUAUCUGAGCCUCUUGGCUAAUCAGCUAACUGGUCCUUUUCCUACUUUUGUCGGUAACCUGACUCGAUUAACUUUCCUGGGUUUAGAAAGGAACCUGCUCACCGGAGCUGUACCUGGAGGCGUUUUUGGGAACCUCAGAUGUCUUAACUUCCUUGGCAUUGGAGAAAAUCUUCUGAAUGGAAAACUUGACUUCUUUGCCGCUCUCUCCAACUGCAGCCAGCUCCGACGCCUGAUCAUAGAAAUGAAUUCUUUCUCAGGGACCAUUCCUGAAGGUUUACUUGCAAACCUCUCUCCCAAUUUAGAGUCUUUGUAUGCAGGCAGUAACAACUUGACUGGCAGUAUUCCGGCCACCAUAUCCAAUCUAAGUAGCCUGAGUACACUAAUCCUUCAUGACAAUCAAAUAAGCGGCACAAUUCCUGCUUCUAUUGUGUCAAUGGAAAAUCUAGAGUUAUUGGACCUCUCCAUAAAUAGUAUGUUUGGAUCAAUCCCAACUCAAAUUGGUACCUUUAAAAGUAUUGAGGUAUUAUAUAUCAACCACAACCAAUUUACUGGUUCCAUUCCUAUGGGUAUCAGCAACCUUAGCACUUUGCAAUACUUAUCGUUGUCAUAUAAUUGCUUAUCAUCAGGUAUACCCGCAAGCCUAGCUAAUCUUACUAAUCUUCUCCAACUAAAUUUAUCUCAUAAUAACUUAACUGGUACAUUGCCUUCUAAUCUCAACCCAAUGAAGGCAAUCGAUAUGUUAGACAUCUCUGCAAACAAUUUGGUUGGUAGCCUCCCAACUUCGUUUGGCCAGCUCCAACUGAUAAGCUACCUGAAUCUAUCUCAGAAUAUGUUGACCGAUUCCAUUCCAAACUCAUUCAAAGGUCUAGUUAAUUUAGAAACAUUGGAUCUGUCCUGUAACAAUCUUUCUGGUGGAAUACCAAAGUACUUUGCCAACUUAAGCUAUCUUACAUCUUUGAACCUCUCCUUUAAUAAUCUACAAGGUCAGAUACCAAGUGGAGGUGUUUUUUCAAACAUCACUCUGCAGUCCUUGAUGGGAAAUGCUGGACUGUGUGGUGCUCCACGUCUUGGAUUUUCGCCAUGUCCGGGAAGCUCUUAUUCAGCUAACAGAAAACACUUUCUGAAGUUUGUGCUCCCUGCUAUCAUUGUUGCAUUUGGUGCCACUGUUGUGCUCUUAUACAUAGCCAUUGGAAAGAAGAUGAAAAGGCCAGAUCUUACUGCUGCUUUUGACAUAGCUGAUGUGAUUAGUCAUCGGUUAGUAUCGUACCAAGAAAUCGUCCGCGCAACCGAAAAUUUCAACGAGGACAACCUACUUGGAGUUGGUAGUUUUGGCAAGGUUUUUAAGGGUCGACUGGAUGAAGGUUUGGUGGUUGCAAUCAAAGUCCUCAACACGAAUGUUGAAAGAGCUAUGAGGACAUUCGACGCAGAGUGCCAUGUCUUGCGGAUGGCCAGGCAUCGCAACUUGAUAAAGAUAUUAAACACGUGUUCCAACCUGGAUUUCAGAGCACUGCUACUUCAGUUCAUGCCUAAUGGUAGCUUGGAGUCAUACUUGCACAGUGAGAGCAGGCCUUGUGUGGGAUCAUUCCUCGAACGGAUGAAUGUUAUGCUAGAUGUGUCAAUGGCUAUGGAAUAUCUGCACCAUGAGCACUGCGAGGUUGUCCUCCACUGCGAUUUGAAACCUAGCAAUGUGCUAUUUGAUGAAGACAUGACUGCACACGUAGCAGACUUUGGCAUAGCAAAGAUGCUGUUAGGGGAGGACAAUUCAGCGGUUUCAGCAAGCAUGCCAGGGACAAUUGGGUACAUGGCGCCAGGUACAUGCACUCAUUAGUCUGUUUUGUUUUCCAUGAAACAGAUGGUUUAUUCUAAUCUUGAACAAACACAUUCUGUUGACUUACUAAAUUUCUGUCACAGAGUACGCGUUCAUGGGAAAGGCGUCACGGAAGAGCGACGUGUUCAGCUUCGGAAUCAUGUUGCUCGAGGUCUUUACUGGGAAGAGGCCUACAGAUCCCGUGUUCAUUGGUGGACUGACCCUAUGGCUGUGGGUUUCUCGAUCUUUUCCAGAGAAUCUUGUUGAUGUUGCAGAUGAUCACAUGCUGCAAGAUGAAGAAACGCGUCUUUGUUUCGAUCAUCAGAACACUUCCAUGGGAUCUUGCUCGACUAGCAGGAGCAACAGCUUCCUUGCGUCGAUAUUUGAGCUGGGCCUGCUGUGUUCGAGUGAGUCACCUGAGCAGAGGAUGGCAAUGAACGAUGUCGUUGCAAAGCUGAAAGGGAUCAAGAAGGAUUACUCUGCAUCUAUGCUGGCAAUGCAAAGGCAUCGACAGUAAUAGAUCAACCAGUUUGUGAUUUGUAUGCCAGUUUAGUUUGGGUUUCCAUAGUUCUUCAAAGCAAAACCUGGCAUCAUUUAUUUACCCCAUCAUAUCAGGCAUGACCGCAUGAUACAGUCUAUAUAUUGAAAAUCGCAGAGUUGUAGCAUGCACUCUGUUUUCAGAUAAUGUUUGUAUUUUCAUUGAUGGACAUUGAAACUUUGAAAGUAAUCCGAGUUGGCGAUCAACAGCAUCUAUCCAUGCAUGCAUGGUUUCAUCUGUUUGACAAGAUUUCUCGGUGAAUUUUUAGUACAAGUAGCGAGACCAACACACGAUUCUGUUUCUUGGUUUGUACUAACUUCACUGGUCAACCAAACAUAUGCUGACAUGCAUGAUGCUGGUCUAAGCAAUGACUGGUUGAGAUCACUCCUUGAAAAUGUAGUUUGUGUUGAUUAAAUCUGUUACAACUUGAUUUCUCCAUGAUUCAGUGCAUUUCAUCAUUGUGAGCUUAAUGAAAGAUGAAAGAUUUUCUAACUUUUGUUAAAUCUAUUCUAAUAAUAAGCUAUGGAAUUUUCCCCGUACAACAUGUUGUACCUAGUGUUAGAUUGAUCUCCAGCCCUUUAGCCUAGGAGCCUUGAUCGCGCCCUGAUCGGGGGCGUCCAGCCCAAUUGGCUGGUGGGCCCCUGUCACAUGCGCUAUAUAAACACAGAGGGUGGAGGCCGGCUCGGCAUGGAAAACCAAGUUCGUCGCCACCGCAACUCCACCCUAACCGAUCUAGGGCGAGCGCAACCAGUGACGGCAAUCGCCACCGCCGCGCCUCGACCUCGCCGGGACCACUAUGACCGAGACCUCACUGGGGCUUCACUGACAACCGCCGUCGCUAUCAGCACCAAGCCCAAAUCGACGACAAUGGCCGGUUCCUCCUCCUCGGCAAGUGGCUCCACUGGUCUGUGCCUAACCUUAAUCCGUUUUACUACCCGUGUAAAUGUUGUUCUACCAUGCCAAUAGAAUACCCGAUCAAUGCUACAACCCUAGAUGAUCCAAAUAGAAACCUAACAAUGGUAUGAGAGCCUUGCCUAGGGUUUAGAUUGUUUUUGGGAUUGAGAAAUCAUAGAGAAAACGAGAGGGGAUUCGAUCUACAAAAGAAAAUUAAAAGCAAAUAGAAAGAAAAGAGACAGAUGGAAAGGGUAAACCCUAACCUCCGUCACUGCCACCGGGACGUCGUUGACGUCGGGCGGUUUUCCCUCCGCCUUCACCGCCGUGACCACGCUCGGGGUGGCCGACGUCGCCCGCCGCGGGGGCGUCGCCGCAUCGGGUCGAGGAGGAACAGAAAAGGGGCCGGCCGCGCUGGGGUCCAGCGCCGCCGUGAGGCCGUUCAACUGCAGCACACACACCCGUAGGCCGACGCGCGCACCGACAAGAAGCCGCAUGGGCGCACCGCCACCUUCAUCGCCGCCUUCUCGCUCUCUCUCGCAUACGGUGGGGGAAGAUGAGAGAUGGUGGGUGAAGGGGGAGAAGAGAAAAGAAUGGCGCAAGCGGCCGGUGCGAGGUCGCCGGGGAAUCACCGGCGAUGGCGCCGCACGCGAGAGAGGUGUAUGAACUAGUGUUAGGGUUGGUCGGGCGGCGGCGGCUGGGUUGGUGGUUUUGUUUCCCCGAUCUGGCUGGCCGGGCGUUC